AGACCCGAAACCCGGUGAUCUAGCCAUGGGCAGGUUGAAGGUUGGGUAACACUAACUGGAGGACCGAACCGACUAAUGUUGAAAAAUUAGCGGAUGACCUGUGGCUGGGGGUGAAAGGCCAAUCAAACCGGGAGAUAGCUGGUUCUCCCCGAAAGCUAUUUAGGUAGCGCCUCGUGAAUUCAUCUCCGGGGGUAGAGCACUGUUUCGGCUAGGGGGCCAUCCCGGCUUACCAACCCGAUGCAAACUGCGAAUACCGGAGAAUGUUAUCACGGGAGACACACGGCGGGUGCUAACGUCCGUCGUGAAGAGGGAAACAACCCAGACCGCCAGCUAAGGUCCCAAAGUCAUGGUUAAGUGGGAAACGAUGUGGGAAGGCCCAGACAGCCAGGAUGUUGGCUUAGAAGCAGCCAUCAUUUAAAGAAAGCGUAAUAGCUCACUGGUCGAGUCGGCCUGCGCGGAAGAUGUAACGGGGCUAAACCAUGCACCGAAGCUGCGGCAGCGAACGUAUCACCCAAGACAACUUUACGGAGUUGACGAUUGACGGAGCGAAGCGACGUCAAAGCGUUCAUUAAAGUCGAGUUGGCUUAGGGAUACGUUCGUUGGGUAGGGGAGCGUUCUGUAAGCCUGUGAAGGUGUGUCGUGAGGCAUGCUGGAGGUAUCAGAAGUGCGAAUGCUGACAUAAGUAACGAUAAAGCGGGUGAAAAGCCCGCUCGCCGGAAGACCAAGGGUUCCUGUCCAACGUUAAUCGGGGCAGGGUGAGUCGACCCCUAAGGCGAGGCCGAAAGGCGUAGUCGAUGGGAAACGGGUUAAUAUUCCCGUACUUGGUGUUACUGCGAAGGGGGGACGGAGAAGGCUAUGUUGGCCGGGCGACGGUUGUCCCGGUUUAAGCGUGUAGGUGUGUGUUCCAGGUAAAUCCGGUUCACUUUAACACUGAGGCGUGACGACGAGGCACUACGGUGCUGAAGCAACAAAUGCCCUGCUUCCAGGAAAAGCCUCUAAGCAUCAGGUAACAUCAAAUCGUACCCCAAACCGACACAGGUGGUCAGGUAGAGAAUACCAAGGCGCUUGAGAGAACUCGGGUGAAGGAACUAGGCAAAAUGGUGCCGUAACUUCGGGAGAAGGCACGCUGACACGUAGGUGAAGUGAUUUACUCAUGGAGCUGAAGUCAGUCGAAGAUACCAGCUGGCUGCAACUGUUUAUUAAAAACACAGCACUGUGCAAACACGAAAGUGGACGUAUACGGUGUGACGCCUGCCCGGUGCCGGAAG
This 1268-nucleotide ribosomal RNA is filed under the name Salmonella enterica. Its description in RNAcentral is "partial 23S ribosomal RNA". It matches the Rfam family "Bacterial large subunit ribosomal RNA", at positions 711 to 1875 of the family's 2925-position model. Lineage: Bacteria; Pseudomonadati; Pseudomonadota; Gammaproteobacteria; Enterobacterales; Enterobacteriaceae. The record is from RNAcentral.